This 1327-nucleotide long non-coding RNA is filed under the name Sus scrofa (pig). RNAcentral describes it as "lncRNA (ENSSSCG00050026002.1)". The record is from RNAcentral. Lineage: Eukaryota; Metazoa; Chordata; Mammalia; Artiodactyla; Suidae.
UCUCUUGUUGCUCCGCCCGUGAGCUUCACGUGCGCCGAGGCUGCUGCUGAGGCGGGGCGGUCCCGGAUUCCUUUCUGAGGGCAUGAGUGGCUAGUGCGAGGCCGCGGCAUAGUAUUAACUGCUUUCGCAAAUCGGUGAGGGGUGUCUCUCCCCUUGGACGCCGUCGCGCCCGUCCGGAAGCUAUGAGCGUGGGCGCUCAGGCAAAGCUACCGCCAGAAGUUUUGGCGAUGAGCUGGAGUCUCCUGGCGCAGAGAGUGUACAUAGAACCCGCAUUGGAAUUGUUUGGCAAAAGGAAUCUACGUGCUGUCUGCGACAACGAGUAGCCACUCCCCAGUGGUUUUGGCCAAGGCUACUCUUGUCCAGUUUUCUUUCAGGUUUCAGUCUAAAGGGGAAAACACUUCUUUCCCACAUCAGAUGUUUCCUGAAGCAUGGAGGGGGUGCCACUAACAUAACACUCAAUACUUUGUUCCAGCGCUUCUAGCAAGUUUCCUGAUGUGGCAUUUGGGGGACAACACCUGACUUUACUGGUAGCCCCACAAGAUUCCACAAAAAAAGUGACUUCUUACCUAAGAGGCUAACCACACGGGCAUGCUGCAGCAAAGGCUGAAUGCAGCUUUCUAACAUGUUCCUUGUACACCAGAUCUCUGCCAAAUAAUGGAGUCUCAGAACUGGAAGGACAAGGCCUGAGAUGUCCUAAGGACUGUAUACCUCAGUGGGUUUGGACUAAACCACCAGAAUGCACAGCCAUCCUGCAUUCACUUCUCUCACCUCUCCAGCAACAUACUAAUAACGCCCAACUCCCGGUGAGUACUCACCAUAGUGCCAAAAACUGAUUUAGUUCUUUGCAUACAUUUUCUCAAUUAAUCUUUACUUGAGGCAGGGACUAUUAUUAUCUUCCUUUUACACAAGUGGCAACUCAGGCACAGAGAGAUUAAGCAACUUGCCCAAGGUCACACAGUGAGUAAUUGGUGGAGCUAGGGUUCAAACUCAGGCCAACUGCUCCAGAGCAUGCACACUUAAUCUCUUUGUUCUGCUGCUGCUGAGUUAUCUGGUUAACACAUCCAGUGACAAGGACCCUGGCAGCCAGGUUAGCUUCCUGUUUAAUGUCUAAUCCAUAAAGAUAAUAUUAUAUAAUGUGAUUAAAAGUUUAAAAAACACGGUAAUUCCCAUCAUGGCUCAGAGGUUAACGAACCCAACUAGCAUCCAUGAAGAUGAGGGUUCAGUCCCUGGCCUGGCUCAGUGGGCUAAGGAUCUGAUGUUGCUGUGAGCUGUGGUGUAGGUCACAGAUGCAGCUCAGAUCCUGUGUUGCCAUGGCUCUGGUGUAGGC